AAUCAACGCUGGCGGCGUGCCUAACACAUGCAAGUCGAGCGAGAAAAGGGGAGCAAUCCUCUGAGUAAAGCGGCGCACGGGUGAGUAACACGUGGGUAAUCUGCCCUGGAGUGGGGAAUAACACCGGGAAACCGGUGCUAAUACCGCAUACGAUAACGAGGUCUGCGGACUUUGUUAUGAAAGGAGCAAUUCGCUCCAGGAGGAGCCCGCGGCUGAUUAGCUAGUUGGUGAGGUAACGGCUCACCAAGGCUUUGAUCAGUAUCCGGUCUG
Molecule: ribosomal RNA, 270 nt
Filed under: uncultured bacterium
Lineage: Bacteria
Description: partial 16S ribosomal RNA
Rfam family: Bacterial small subunit ribosomal RNA
Source: RNAcentral